Molecule: ribosomal RNA, 429 nt
Filed under: Pseudomonadota bacterium
Lineage: Bacteria; Pseudomonadati; Pseudomonadota
Description: Proteobacteria bacterium partial 16S ribosomal RNA
Rfam family: Bacterial small subunit ribosomal RNA
Source: RNAcentral
UGGGGAAUAUUGGACAAUGGACGAAAGCCUGAUCCAGCCAUGCCGCGUGUGUGAAGAAGGUCUUCGGAUUGUAAAGCACUUUAAGUUGGGAGGAAGGGCAGUAAGCGAAUACCUUGCUGUUUUGACGUUACCGACAGAAUAAGCACCGGCUAACUCUGUGCCAGCAGCCGCGGUAAUACAGAGGGUGCAAGCGUUAAUCGGAAUUACUGGGCGUAAAGCGCGCGUAGGUGGUUCGUUAAGUUGAAUGUGAAAGCCCCGGGCUCAACCUGGGAACUGCAUCCAAAACUGGCGAGCUAGAGUAGGGCAGAGGGUGGUGGAAUUUCCUGUGUAGCGGUUAAAUGCGUAGAUAUAGGAAGGAACACCAGUGGCGAAGGCGACCACCUGGGCUCAUACUGACACUGAGGUGCGAAAGCGUGGGGAGCAAACAGG